GGGAUUGAAACCUGAUGUUUAAUGUAAUUUUAAAUAUACCUUUAUUUUACGAGGCAAGUCAGUUAAGAACAAAUUCUCAUAAUCAAUGACAGCCUAGGAACAGUGGGUUAACUGCCUAUUCAGGGGCAGAACAACAAAUUUGUACCUUGUCAGCUCGGGGAUUCAAACUUGCAACCUUUCGGUUACUAGUCCGACACUCUAACCACUAGUCUACCCUGCCGAUGUGUAGGACAAAGACAAAACAAAUGGAAAAUGAAAAGUGGACCAGCGAUGGCUUGAAGGCCGGUGCUGGAUCUUCUCUCAAAAUAUUUUACAUACUGAUAGCUGACAAUGCGUGAUGACAAUUUCACCAAAUGUUUAAAAAAAAUCUUACCUAAUGCAGCUUUAACAUGAAAGCUUACUUAAAUUAGAUAAUCUAUUUCCAUCUUUGAAUCUGAGGCCGGCAUUAGCGUUGUAUGUUAGUAAAAUCAAAUCUUAAACUACUCAUCUUGCUAAGUGUAAAAAAAGAAUGUUGAACAAUGUUAUUACUGAUAAACUGCACAUUUCAUGGAACAAGCGGUUCCUAAAUGAUGUUGACUUACUGGUCAUUAUUUGUAGUUGAUCGGUAUAUAUGACAUGGUGUUUUGUAUUCACAUUGUUCACUUUGGCCUGCUAUUGUUUUUGUUUUCACGUGGUGGACGUUGACCUGCCCUGCUGAUACUGUGUAAUGUGUUCAGGUGAGUGACUCAACACAGGUUUCUCUAGCUAGCUCUGCUGAUACUGUGUAAUAUGUGUUCAGAUAUUUCAAAGCAGCGACUUUGUUUGGGGAGGUGAGUUUCAGCAC
Oncorhynchus tshawytscha (Chinook salmon) is the source of this 823-nucleotide long non-coding RNA. The record is from Ensembl. Lineage: Eukaryota; Metazoa; Chordata; Actinopteri; Salmoniformes; Salmonidae.